GGGGCCGUGGUCUAGCGGUUAUGACGCCGCCCUUACACGGCGGAGGUCGCCGGUUCGAAUCCGGCCGGCCCCA
This 73-nucleotide transfer RNA is filed under the name Nitrososphaeria archaeon. RNAcentral describes it as "tRNA-Val". It matches the Rfam family "tRNA". From Rfam's summary of the family: Transfer RNA (tRNA) molecules are approximately 80 nucleotides in length. The record is from RNAcentral. Lineage: Archaea; Thermoproteati; Nitrososphaerota; Nitrososphaeria.